This 253-nucleotide ribosomal RNA is filed under the name uncultured bacterium. RNAcentral describes it as "partial 16S ribosomal RNA". It matches the Rfam family "Archaeal small subunit ribosomal RNA", at positions 474 to 727 of the family's 1478-position model. The record is from RNAcentral.
UACCAGCACCCCGAGUGGUCGGGACGAUUAUUGGGCCUAAAGCAUCCGUAGCCGGUUCUACAAGUCUUCCGUUAAAUCCACCUGCUCAACAGAUGGGCUGCGGAGGAUACUAUGGAGCUAGGAGGCGGGAGAGGCAAGCGGUACUUAGUGGGUAGGGGUAAAAUCCGUUGAUCCAUUGAAGACCACCAGUGGCGAAGGCGGCUUGCCAGAACGCACUCGACGGUGAGGGAUGAAAGCUGGGGGAGCAAACCGG